CGUACCUACGGGAGGCAGCAGUGGGGAAUAUUGCACAAUGGGGGAAACCCUGAUGCAGCGACGCCGCGUGAGUGAAGAAGUAUCUCGGUACGUAAAGCUCUAUCAGCAGGGAAGAAAAUGACGGUACCUGACUAAGAAGCCCCGGCUAACUACGUGCCAGCAGCCGCGGUAAUACGUAGGGGGCAAGCGUUAUCCGGAUUUACUGGGUGUAAAGGGAGCGUAGACGGCAGCACAAGUCUGGAGUGAAAUCCCGGGGCCCAACCCCGGAACUGCAUUGGAAACUGUUUAUCUAGAGUGUCGGAGAG
RNAcentral lists this ribosomal RNA (305 nucleotides) under uncultured bacterium. RNAcentral's name for it is "bacterial SSU rRNA". It matches the Rfam family "Bacterial small subunit ribosomal RNA", at positions 334 to 656 of the family's 1533-position model. The record is from RNAcentral.